RNAcentral lists this long non-coding RNA (4136 nucleotides) under Equus caballus (horse). Its description in RNAcentral is "lncRNA (ENSECAG00000047413.1)". The record is from RNAcentral. Lineage: Eukaryota; Metazoa; Chordata; Mammalia; Perissodactyla; Equidae.
GGCAGAGCGCACCCCUCUCGCCGGCCUGUGCCUGGGGCCGACGGGGUGGAGAACCGGGGACCCGGAGCGGCGCGUUAGAGUCCCUGGCGCGCAGCGUCCCGGCUGCGGCGGUGCCAGCUGCCCAUCUUCGCGUGCGCUCAGCACUAAGGGCUGCUCUGCAAGGGCCUCCACUAAAAGGAAGUCGGCCCCUCUGGACCUCCAGAGAACCGGCUCAUGCUGGCGUUCAGCGGCGCCGCAAUGGACGUGGGAAACAAUGCGGCACGCGGAAGAGAAAGCUGGAAAAAUUGGCUGAGGACAUAGCCCAGACCGGGAGUUAGGAGAUCUGAUAUGCAGAGACCUCCAGGAGUCACUUCAUGACCUCCAAGGCCACCGACCAGCAGAGUUAUUCAAAAAGAUGCUGCUAAGACCGAUGUCAAAGAGCAUAUUGCGUAAGUUUUCUUCUAGAAUUUUUAUGGUUUCAGGUUUUACAUUCAAGUCUUUAAUCCAUUUUGAGUUAAUUUUUGUGUAUGGUGGCAAGUAACAGUCUACUUUCAUUCUUUUGCAUGUGGCUGUGCAGUUUUCCCAACACCAUUUAUUGGAGAGACUGUCCUUUCUCUAUUGUAUGUUCUGGCAGUCACUAUAGAGAACAAUAUGGAGAGUCCUCAAAAAAUUAGCAAUAGGACUACCAUUUAAUCCAGCUAGUCCAUUUCUGGGUAUUUGUCCAAAGAAUACGAAAACGCCAAUGUGUAAAGGUAUUUGCACCCUGUGGUCAUUGCAGCAUUAUUUGCAAUAGCCAAGACGCAGAAACAAUCUAAAGGCCCAUCAAUGGAUGAAUGUGAUGGGGUUCAAGGCAGGCCACCCUCUGAUAUGCCACUCUGAUAUGCGGAUUAUUUCAAGCUAAAGACAACAGAGGCUCAGAAGACUCUGGAAGAACGUUUGGCCACCCUCCUCCCUCCUCCCCCCCCCCCCUCCCCCCCCCCCCCCGCAAUUGCCUAGAAGAAUUUAAGAUAGAAGGACCUAUAAGAUAUAGUUACCAGAAGAUAACUAUAGUAUAGUGUAAAAUAGGUGUGAUAAGAAAGGCACCAACAAGCCCAUUUUAUCACACUUCUGCCUCUCAGGCCACAUUCUCUACAGGUGGCUCAGCAAACAAUUGUCUAACAAAUGUGCUUUUCCAUCUCCAUGUGAAUUGCCUUCCUCCCCUCUGAAGUCCCAACCCACUACCCCCAACAUUCUCCUUUGUCUUUAGCUGAAGAUGGUAUUUAAGAUGGUGACUUUGGCCAUUGUGGCAAGUUGCUCAGUUUCCUUGGGUUUCUCACAUGUAUACAUGCUAUUAAAGUUUGUUCUGUUUUCUCCUACUAACCUGCCUUAUGUUAUUUAGUUAUUUGACCAUCCCUAAGAAGCUUAGGGAAAAGGGGAGGAGAAUUCUCCCUUUUCCAGUGUAAAUGGAUAAAGAAGAUGUGGUAUAAAUACACAAUGGAAUACCACUCAGCCAUAAAAAAAAGGUGACAUCUUUACAUUUAUGACAACAUGGAUGGACCUUGAGGUUAUUACGCUAAGUGAAAUAAGUCAGAUGGAGAAAGUCAAAUACCACAUGAUUUCACUUUUCUUCAAGCGAUUCCGGUGUACUGUCAAGGCUGAGAACCGCCCAUCUCCCCUAGAGGCUUGGUACUCAAAGUGUGGUCCCUGGACGAGGCAGCCCCCACCCAGAUCUGCUGAAUCACGGUCUACAUUUCAACAAGGCUCUUAGAAGGCCUCAUUUCUUCAACAAUUUCUCAUAUGACAUGAUCCUUAUCCUGGGCCUUCCCUUCCUCUGGGGCACUUGAAUUUUGAAAUCUUAAUUACAGACUUUCAGCCUCUCAAGAGACCUUAGAGAUCAUCAAGGCCACUAUAUACCCACUUCACAGUGGAAGAGAUGAAGCCCCACCCAGAGAGGUGAAGACUUCCACUCAAGACCAAGGGCGAUGCCGGCUCAGCGAGUUGAGGAGUUGAAAGAAAGAUUUCUUGCGCACUCAAGGUCUGGUAGUAGUGCUCUUUAAUUCAGAGAAUAGCAUGGGGACAGGAUCCACAGGCAGUGAAGGGCUGUAAUGUGUUGAGGGUUAGGGCUACAUUUAUAAGGCGUGGGUACAUGACUUAUUUUUACGAGACAAAGGGAAAGAUGAUGUAAAAAGUCAUUAAAUGGUAUCAGUGCAGGUGGGGUCUGGUUACUGUGUGGUCGUAUAACUUUAGAUAUGAAUCAGGUCAUGUAGAUCGGCAUGUAGGCCAGGACGCCUUGGGCUUCUCUCCCUGGGGCAGCCUUGAUCCACAUCAAGGGGACCAGAAUGCUGAUCCAGGUGACACCACGUCAUGUCAUGAGGAGUUAUUUUUUGUUUUCCUCAAACCUUGGGGUAGGUUGGAGGUGACACUGAGCUUGCUUUGAAUGGGGUUACAGGCUGGGAUGUUGCAGAAUGGAGCAACCCCCUGAUGUUGCUGCUGGUCUGGAUGGGGAGGGGCGUGGGGGGAAAGCAUGGCUUCAACCUUUGUUCCUGAAAACAGGGAAAGGAGAAGGGUUGAUCUCUAAGGGACUAAAAGGAAGGUGGUUUCUGGCCACCUAGUGUGUAUUUCCUCUCUCCCUUAUGGAAACAGUGUGGUAUGAAUGUUAUCAGUACCACCCCCCACCCGCCGCCCCGCCCCAGCAUCCCUCAGCCAAGGGACGUAUGCUCCCUCCGGCUUCGAAUCUGGAUCAGAGUCACUGAGAGGCUGAAGACAGCAGGUGCUGUCCCCACCAGCAGAGGCCCUCUGAGAAGGUCAGUCCUGCUUGGGGCCACUGUCUGUGGGCUUCCUGGCUCUGGGAUCACCUUGGGGUGGGGGGUUCCCGUCUCUUUCCAGGCUGGUUCUCUAGCCUUCCCAAUGAGUCUGUGUCUUCUUCAUAUCCUUUGGCUUAAGUCAGCAAAGUAGGUUUCUGUUACCUUAACUUACUGAUAAUAAAAAGACUUUCCCUCCAUUUUCAGGGUUGAGGUUUUGGCUCUCAGAUCACAAAGCCAAAUAAUAAAAAAUAAAAUAAAUAUCCCUUAGUCCAUAUUGAGAUAUAUAUAUAUAUAUAAGUGAAUUAAUGAAUACGUAAAUGAGGGAGAAGGGAUAACUCUUUCUUACAGAGGAAUUCUAAGUGAUAAAUGUGGAAGAAUGAGAGAAAUAGACAUUCCCCAUAAGAACACCCAGCAGUAAUUGCUGCAGGCAAGAUCCACAGACAGAUGCUAAAGUUAGUGGGUGAACGCUUAAGGAGGUGCAGGAUAUUUGCAUCAUCUCAAGGUCUGUCUCCAAAAAUAGAUGUUUAUUAAUAACAAAGGGAAAAAUAGUAACUUCACGCUGAAGAAAAUUGGCAGUCACUACCUUCACCCCGUGACCAAGGUUUACACCAUCAGAAACAAGACAUGUUGAUGUCACGUACCCCAUGAUGUGGCGCACUGGGAAGAGCGUAUCAGACCUCUGUGGUCCUUCCCAGGACACAUAACCUCAAUGUAAUCAUGAUAAAACAUCAGACAAUACAAACAGAGGAACAUUUUACAAAAUAACUGACUCUUUAAAAGUCUCAAAGUCAUGAGACAGGAACUGUCAAAGAUUAAAGGAGAAUAAGGAGACGUGGUGGCUAAGUGUAAGGUGAGAUCCUGCAUUCGCUCCUGGAAUAGGAAAAAACAUUGGUGGAAGAACUGGUGAAACCCAGUGAAGUUUGAGUUUGGUUCAUAUUAUUGUCUCAAUGUUACUUCCUUAGUUUGGAGAGUCGUACUCUAGAGAUAUAAGAUGUUAAUAUUGGGGGAAGCUGGGUGAACAGUAUAAAGGAACCCUUUGUACUAUUUUUGCUACUCUGUAAGUUUAAAAUGAUCUUAAAAUAAAAAGGUUACUGCCUAUAUUUUCUUCUAGGUGUUUUAUGGUUUCAGGUCUUACAUUCAAGUAUUUAAUCCAUUUUGAGUUAAUUUCUGUGUGUUGUGUAAGAUAAUGGGCUACUUUCAUUCUCUUGCAUGUGGCUGUUCAGUUUCCCAACACCAUUUACUGCAGAGACUUUCCUUUCUCCAUUGUAUUUUCUUGGCUCCUUUGUCAAAUAUUAGCUGUCUGUAGAUGCGUGGGUUUAUUUCCGCGCUUUCAAUUCUGUUCCACUGAUUUGUGUGUCUGUUUCUGCCAGUACC